GGGAAGGGGGAGAAAAAGAGAGAGACCUUGGAAGUGUCAUGAUUAUAAAUGAUCCUUUCUCCAGGAGCCAACUGUGCCUGAGAACAACCUCGCCUGUGAGGUUCAUGCUGCAAAAUGAUUAUCACAUCAUAAACAGAUCUGGCUGAGUCCUGGCUUUGUGGAGGACUUUACUCAAGAAAACGCUGAUGGGCUGGGGUAGGAAGGAUGCAUGGUAAAGGUCUUGGGUCUUUAUUGACUGCUUGAGCCCAUAGGAUGCUGUCUAAGAACAAAGGCAGUAGGUAAGGUUGUUAUUUCUUCAUGUUGCACAUGAAGACCUGGCCUCUGCUCUCCCCAUGUGGUUGUGACAACAUGCAACACCCAACCCCUUCCUGUGGGUGCAGCAGGAGAAAAUUGGAUGGAAUUUUGCAGCUCCAAAACCUUGUGAUCCAGCUUUAAGUCUUGCACUGGUUUUUGGACUUGGCUAGCUCUGUGUCAUGCAUAGCUGUUUGUUUUCAGAGACUUCACACUACUCCUGAUUUUCGUCUACUUAGCGUUCCUAUUUUUUUUACAUCCAGUUCAGUUUGGGAAAAUGUGAGUUCAACAUAGAACAAACCGUAGUGCUUCAAACACUGUUACUUGAAAGUACCACAGCAAGUGCAAAAAUCAGAACAGAUU
Zonotrichia albicollis (white-throated sparrow) is the source of this 654-nucleotide non-coding RNA. The record is from RefSeq and is a predicted model, not a curated record. Lineage: Eukaryota; Metazoa; Chordata; Aves; Passeriformes; Passerellidae.